UAGCUCAAUUGGUAGAGUACUUGCCUCCUAUGCACAAGGCCCUGGGUUCGAUCCCCAG
Molecule: transfer RNA, 58 nt
Filed under: Ictidomys tridecemlineatus (thirteen-lined ground squirrel)
Lineage: Eukaryota; Metazoa; Chordata; Mammalia; Rodentia; Sciuridae
Description: Spermophilus tridecemlineatus (thirteen-lined ground squirrel) tRNA
Rfam family: tRNA
About the family: Transfer RNA (tRNA) molecules are approximately 80 nucleotides in length. Their secondary structure includes four short double-helical elements and three loops (D, anti-codon, and T loops).
Source: Rfam by way of RNAcentral